Molecule: unclassified non-coding RNA, 236 nt
Filed under: Paraglomerales sp.
Lineage: Eukaryota; Fungi; Glomeromycota; Glomeromycetes; Paraglomerales
Description: partial contains 5.8S ribosomal RNA and internal transcribed spacer 2
Rfam family: 5.8S ribosomal RNA (bases 1-65)
Source: RNAcentral
GUGAAUCAUCGAAUUUUUGAACGCAAAUUGCGCCUUUUUCGGAAGGCAUGUCUGUUUGAGGGCACCAUUUAAUAAAUAUUGUGCAGCGUUUUUUGUUUCACACGUUGAUGAGCUUUUCAAGAAUUUUAAAUUUUGGGUUGAACAUAAUGAACAGCGAGAAUGUUUGUUUCAGUUCGAGUUUAGUAAAAUCUUUUCUUUGGUUGUGAAAAAACAUAAUCGCGCAAUGAGUGGGGCAG